UACGUAGGGCGCAAGCGUUGUCCGGAAUUAUUGGGCGUAAAGAGCUCGUAGGCGGUUUGUCGCGUCUGGUGUGAAAACCUCAGGCUCAACCUGGGGCGUGCAUCGGGUACGGGCAGACUAGAGUGCGGUAGGGGAGACUGGAAUUCCUGGUGUAGCGGUGGAAUGCGCAGAUAUCAGGAGGAACACCGAUGGCGAAGGCAGGUCUCUGGGCCGCAACUGACGCUGAGGAGCGAAAGCAUGGGGAGCGAACAGG
RNAcentral lists this ribosomal RNA (253 nucleotides) under uncultured bacterium. Its description in RNAcentral is "partial 16S ribosomal RNA". It matches the Rfam family "Bacterial small subunit ribosomal RNA", at positions 524 to 776 of the family's 1533-position model. The record is from RNAcentral.